Molecule: ribosomal RNA, 397 nt
Filed under: uncultured eukaryote
Lineage: Eukaryota
Description: bacterial SSU rRNA
Rfam family: Eukaryotic small subunit ribosomal RNA
Source: RNAcentral
CAAUAGCGUAUAUUAAAGUUGUUGCGGUUAAAAAGCUCGUAGUUGGACCUCUGGGAGGGACCCAAUGUCCGCCGUGGUGCGUGCGCAGCGGGGCCCUUCCAUCCUUCUGUUAACGUUUCUCGGUAUUCGCUUACUGGUUUCGGGCUCAGAUAUUUUACCUUAAGAAAAUUAGAGUGUUUCAGGCAGGCUUUCGCCGGAAUACAUUAGCAUGGAAUAAUGGAAAAGGACGUUCAACCUCUUCUGUUGGUCUGAGAGGCUGUAGUAAUGAUUAAUAGGGAUAGUUGGGGGCAUUAGUACUUAACUGUCAGAGGUGAAAUUCUCCGAUUUGUUAAAGACUAACUUAUGCGAAAGCAUUUGCCAAGGAUGUUUUCAUUAAUCAAGAACGAAAGUUAGGGGA